AUUGAACGCUGGCGGCAGGCUUAACACAUGCAAGUCGAGCGGGGGAAGGUAGCUUGCUACCGGACCUAGCGGCGGACGGGUGAGUAAUGCUUAGGAAUCUGCCUAUUAGUGGGGGACAACAUCUCGAAAGGGAUGCUAAUACCGCAUACGUCCUACGGGAGAAAGCAGGGGAUCUUCGGACCUUGCGCUAAUAGACGAGCCUAAGUCGGAUUAGCUAGUUGGUGGGGUAAAGGCCUACCAAGGCGACGGUCUGUAGCGGGUCUGAGAGGAUGAUCCGCCACACUGGGACUGAGACACGGCCCAGACUCCUACGGGAGGCAGCAGUGGGGAAUAUUGGACAAUGGGGGGAACCCUGAUCCAGCCAUGCCGCGUGUGUGAAGAAGGCCUUAUGGUUGUAAAGCACUUUAAGCGAGGAGGAGGCUACUUUAGUUAAUACCUAGAGAUAGUGGACGUUACUCGCAGAAUAAGCACCGGCUAACUCUGUGCCAGCCGCCGCUGUAA
This 501-nucleotide ribosomal RNA is filed under the name uncultured bacterium. RNAcentral describes it as "partial 16S ribosomal RNA". It matches the Rfam family "Bacterial small subunit ribosomal RNA", at positions 30 to 523 of the family's 1533-position model. The record is from RNAcentral.